CCCGAUGGAGGGGGAUAACUACUGGAAACGGUAGCUAAUACCGCAUAACGUCUUCGGACCAAAGUGGGGGACCUUCGGGCCUCACACCAUCGGAUGUGCCCAGAUGGGAUUAGCUAGUAGGUGGGGUAAUGGCUCACCUAGGCGACGAUCCCUAGCUGGUCUGAGAGGAUGACCAGCCACACUGGAACUGAGACACGGUCCAGACUCCUACGGGAGGCAGCAGUGGGGAAUAUUGCACAAUGGGCGCAAGCCUGAUGCAGCCAUGCCGCGUGUAUGAAGAAGGCCUUCGGGUUGUAAAGUACUUUCAGCGGGGAGGAAGGCGGUGAAGUUAAUAGCUUCAUCGAUUGACGUUACCCGCAGAAGAAGCACCGGCUAACUCCGUGCCAGCAGCCGCGGUAAU
RNAcentral lists this ribosomal RNA (400 nucleotides) under uncultured bacterium. RNAcentral's name for it is "bacterial SSU rRNA". It matches the Rfam family "Bacterial small subunit ribosomal RNA", at positions 129 to 524 of the family's 1533-position model. The record is from RNAcentral.